Bos taurus (domestic cattle) is the source of this 696-nucleotide long non-coding RNA. The record is from Ensembl. Lineage: Eukaryota; Metazoa; Chordata; Mammalia; Artiodactyla; Bovidae.
UGUUAGUCCCCAAACAAUGAUGAAGACCUUCCCUGACGUAUUCCUGGCACCCACAAGACUAGUGCUAAAGUCGCUUCAGUCACGUCUGACUCUGCAACCUAUGGACUGUGGCCUGCCAGGCUCCUCUGUCCAUGGGAUUCUCCAGGCAAGAAUACUGUGAGUGGAUUUUCAUGUCCACCUCCAGGGGAUCUUCCCAACCCAGGGAUCAAAUCCUGCAUUGCAGGCGGAUUCUUUAUAGUCUGAGCCACUAGUGCUCCUUUGGUGGUGCUGAGUGCAGUUGCAAAUGCUUCCAGAUCAUUGUCUGCCUGACCCCAACUUGAAAAGGACUGUGAACAAAGCUACACCCUCAGUGUUACAAGACAGAGGAGAGUAACUACCUACAUAUUAUGAAACCUUCACAGAUAAGUAUGAAUUUCCCCCAAGAUAAGUAUAACAACAUAGGAAAUAUCAUAGGUGUGAAGUUCCAGAUGUGGCCAUCUGGAAAUAAGAAAAAAUUUGGUUGUAAGUACAUUCAUCAAAUUGUUUACAAUAGUGAAAAAUGGAAACAGCUGCCCAACCACAGAAGACUGAUUAAAUACAAUAUAUCCAUACUUAAGAAUAAUACUGUCAUUAUAUAUAUAAACUGAUGUUCACAUCUUUAUGAGAGGAUUACAAAACUAUUUUUACAAUUCUAUUUUUUAAAAAUUUAAAGUGUCU